UGAGAUCUGACCUUGUUGCUAAGGUAGCAAAAUCAUUAGUUUUUUAAUUGUGAACCAGUAUAAACGACUUGACGAGAAAAUCCCUGUCUUUAAUUCAAACAUAAACUUUAUCUAAAGGUAAAAAAGCCUUUUAAACCUAAAGGGACGACAAGACCCUAGAACCUAUCUUCAACUCUUAGAUUUUAAUUACUUUAAAAGACCUAAAAGAGUUACUGGGGCGGUAAUUAUUAUUCCAAUUUGAAACUUACCGCACUGCGCGUUAAUUUACACCAAUAACAAAUCCAAAUAGGUACUCUAGGGAUAACAGCACGAUUUAUCUUUAGAGCCCUUAUCGACAGAUAACUUGUGACCUCGAUGUUGAAUUGAGUUACUUAUCUAAGCAG
Molecule: ribosomal RNA, 383 nt
Filed under: Troglocyphoniscus absoloni
Lineage: Eukaryota; Metazoa; Arthropoda; Malacostraca; Isopoda; Trichoniscidae
Description: partial large subunit ribosomal RNA
Rfam family: Bacterial large subunit ribosomal RNA
Source: RNAcentral